GAUGAAUGCUAGCGGAGUGCUUAACACAUGCAAGUCGAACGGCCAGUAAUGGCAGUGGCGAACGGGCGAGUAACACGUGCCUAACCUGCCCUGGAGUAGAGGACAACUGCGGAAACGCAGCUAAUUCUGUAUACGUCUGGAGGAAUGAGAAAGAUCUGGAGAAAGAUUUAUCGCUCUGGGAGGGGGGUGCGGACCACCAGUUAGUUGGUGAGGUAAGAGCUUACCAAGACUAAGACGGAUAGCCGGCCUGAGAGGGUGACCGGCCGCAAUGGGACUGAGACACGGCCCAUACCCCUACGGGGGGCAGCAGUGGGGAAUAUUGGACAAUGGGGGGAACCCUGAUCCAGCAACUCCGCGUGAAGGACGAAGCCUUAAGGGGUGUAAACUUCUUUUCUGGUGAAAGACGAAUGACGGUACACCAGGAAUAAGAGACGGCUAACUACGUGCCAGCAGCCGCGGUAAUACGUAGGUCUCGAGCAUUAUCCGGAAUCACUGGGCGUAAAGAGUCUGUAGCCUGCAUAAUAAGUCUGCUUUUAAAAACCGGGGCUCAACUUCGGAGAGGGGGCAGAUACUGUUAAGCUAGAGAUAGGUGGAGGUUAGUAGAAUUUCCGGUGGAGGGGUGGAAUCUGUUGAUAUCGGAAGGAAUGCCGAAAGCGAAAGCAGCUGGCUAUGCCUUAUCUGACGGUAAAGGACGAAAGUUUGGGUAGCAAACAGGAUUAGAUACCCUGGUAGUCCAAACUGUAAACUAUGCUCGCUAGGUGUCUCUGAGUAAUUGGGGGUGCUGAAACCAAACGGGUUAAGCGAGCCGCCUGAGUAGUAUAGUCGCAAGACCGAAACUCAAAGGGAUAGGCGGGGGAACACACAAGCGGUGGAUUGUCUCGAUUAAUUGGAUAAUAAGCCAAGAAUCUUACCUGAUCUUGACAUGCAGUGUGUCGUAUGAUAGGUCAUACUAGAUAUAGCAAUAUAUCGCGCUGUGCAGGUGCUGCAUGGCCGUCGUCAGCUCGUGCCGCAAGGUGUCCGGUUAAGUCCGGGAACGAGCGCAACCCUUACACUUAGUUAGGAUGUCUAGGUGGACUGCCUCGGCAACGAGGAGGAAGGAGGGGAUGAUGUCAGGUCAUUAUGGCCCUUAUGAUCAGGGCGUCAGAGGCAAUACAAUGGGUGGUACAGAACGAAGCGAUACCGAGAGGAGGAGCGAAACGCGAAAGCCAUCCCAAGUGCGGAUUGUGGUCUGGAACUCGACCACAUGAAGUUGGAAUCGCUAGUAAUGGCGGAUCAGCCAAGCCGCCGUGAAUAGGU
This 1296-nucleotide ribosomal RNA is filed under the name uncultured candidate division SR1 bacterium. RNAcentral describes it as "bacterial SSU rRNA". It matches the Rfam family "Bacterial small subunit ribosomal RNA", at positions 28 to 1371 of the family's 1533-position model. Lineage: Bacteria; Candidatus Absconditibacteriota. The record is from RNAcentral.